Molecule: RNA transcript, 1981 nt
Organism: Rosa chinensis
Lineage: Eukaryota; Viridiplantae; Streptophyta; Magnoliopsida; Rosales; Rosaceae
Exons: 9
Source: RefSeq, a predicted model, not a curated record
GACAUGCUAUUCACGGUUUAAUUGAGGAAUCUGCUUAUCCUUACAUGUCCAAGAAAAUGGAAGGACAGGUGUAUGACAUUACCAAUUUCUAUAACCGAAAACCUGUAUAAAAAUAUAAACUUGCUGAUCAUGUGGUAGAACUGUGUUUCAAUGUGUCAACAAAGUUUGAGCCUGUAAUGGAUGCAUUCCCUCCAAUCCCAGAACAUUCAUUUACCUUCCUUCAUUUUGACAACUUGGAGGACCAGAUGAGGACUCAGACAGUACUUAAGGAUGUUUACGGUUGUAUCAAAUCACUCAUACCAGAACAUCAAGUUACUGUCAAAGACACUGGAAAAUUGGAAUCAAAAUGUGAAAUCUUUGUAGAAAAUUUGAGGAGGGAGGAUAUCAGAAUUACCUUCUGGUGUGACAUAGCUAGAGAGUUUGAUAUGGAAAGAGUUAAACAGUUAUCCCCACCAGUGCUCGCUGUAUUCACGGGUUUAAGGUUGGCCAAAUUCCAAGAAUGGGUAACAGCAGCAACAACAGGCCAUACAUGCAUCAUGAUCAAUCCAGAUAUUCCAAUAGCAAAUGAAUACAAAGCUGAUUUCUCGAAAUCAGGUGACAAAGUGAAAGGUACCUUUUAAACGGCCAACAACAGAAGAGAUGAUAGACAAAACAACAAAGUUGGUCUUUGAAUUAAACACAUUGGAUCCAGAUAUAUACAUGAAUAAAACAGUGUAUUGCACUGCUUCGAUCCUCCAGUUUCCAGUUCAUAAUGGUUGGUGGUAUAGAGGCUGUUCAAAGUGUUUUAAACAACUUAAGCAAAGACAAGACACCGGUAAAUUAAUUUGUCCUAAACAUGAUGUGCAAAUAGCUGUGCCAUGUUACAAAGUUUAUGUCACCAUUCGAGAUGAUAAUAAUCAAGCAACACUCAUUCUGAUGGGGAGACAGGCAGAGCAGCUAUUUGGCAUCAAUUGUCAAAAUCUGGAGAACAAAAGACUGUAUCCAACAUAGCAGACACUACAAGAAGAGAUUAAGAAGACAACUGAUGAAACCUAUCUCUUUGAAAUCACAGUCAAUCAAUAUGCCGAGCUGACGGUCAGAAACAUUUUCCCAAGUAAGCAAUCCUUUGCAUCGAUGGUGGAACAUAGCCCAACCACUGAACACCAGAGUGGCUUCCAACUGAAAGAAAAAGAAACAUUGAAGCAAGUGGAAAAGCUUUGUGCAUCGUAGAGCCUGAGAAAAAAGCCAAGAACAAGAAGGAGACCAAGCGUGGAGCAAUGAUAUCGGCAUCAUCGGUGUCAUCAUCAGUAAGCAAAGAACAACUUUAGAAAGAAAAGGCAGACUGAAUCUAAAUUGCUCCUCUAUACACCUGUAACUUAUUUUAUCUAAUUAUACCUGCGCUGACUCCAUUUUGUGUACAGCUAUAGUCAGCGAAACAACUGGAUCUUUUGGGAACUGGAGGUAUUAAUUUUUUGGUUAAACUCCAGUCCAACUUUUUGGUAAUUAGCUCCAGUUGUUUCAGCAGUGAUCGAUAACAGAUCUAAUGAUCUUUGAACAAUGGAAGCAGUUAAUUUUUUGGACAACCAAUGCCAGCUACUCUGGCUGGGUUAUACUAGCUUCCUUUGAAUCAAAUACUCUAUCAGUACUGUAUUGACUUAACUAUCUGUAGUAAUUUGUGAGUAAUGUUUAAAUUCCAUUUCUUCAUAAACUGUUAUCUUUACAAUACAGUUCUUUAUUACAUAUCAUAUCACUUUAAAAGCCUGGAGUAUGUUUUGCCAAUUAGUCUAAAUAUCAUGUCAUAUUUUGUGGUUUGCAUAAUCAAGCUUUUUCUAACAAUUCGUUUCACUUACAAGUUUUCGCAGAUAGCAGGACUACAUUUAAUCUUUGUUUCGAUAUGUUUUUACACCAUUUAUUGAACUCAUAAUUUUAUUAUGUUUACAACUCACAAUCAAUCAUUACAAGAUUUGGAACCACUACUUCAAUCUCGAUUAUCGUUCUCAUC